GACGAACGCUGGCGGCGUGCUUAACACAUGCAAGUCGAACGGGAUCCAUGUUGUAGCAAUACUUCGGAAGAUCUAGUGGCGAACGGGUGAGGAACACAUGAGAAACCUGCCCCGAACUUCGGGAUAACAGUUGGAAACGACUGCUAAUACCGAAUACCUCUGCGAAGUGGCAUCACUUUGCACAGAAAGAAUUUCGGUUCGGGAGGGUCUCGCGGCCUAUCAGCUAGUUGGUGGGGUAACGGCCUACCAAGGCAUCGACGGGUAGCUGGUCUGAGAGGAUGUUCAGCCACACUGGGACUGAGACACGGCCCAGACUCCUACGGGAGGCAGCAGUGGGGAAUCUUGUGCAAUGGGCGAAAGCCUGACACAGCAACGCCGCGUGCGGGAAGAAGGCCUUCGGGUCGUAAACCGCUUUCAGCAGGAACGAAGAUGACGGUACCUGCAGAAGAAGGUGCGGCCAACUACGUGCCAGCCGCCGCCGUAA
This 484-nucleotide ribosomal RNA is filed under the name uncultured bacterium. RNAcentral describes it as "partial 16S ribosomal RNA". It matches the Rfam family "Bacterial small subunit ribosomal RNA", at positions 28 to 523 of the family's 1533-position model. The record is from RNAcentral.